RNAcentral lists this ribosomal RNA (543 nucleotides) under Salmonella enterica subsp. enterica serovar Enteritidis. Its description in RNAcentral is "bacterial SSU rRNA". It matches the Rfam family "Bacterial small subunit ribosomal RNA", at positions 86 to 625 of the family's 1533-position model. The record is from RNAcentral. Lineage: Bacteria; Pseudomonadati; Pseudomonadota; Gammaproteobacteria; Enterobacterales; Enterobacteriaceae.
UGCUGACGAGUGGCGGACGGGUGAGUAAUGUCUGGGAAACUGCCUGAUGGAGGGGGAUAACUACUGGAAACGGUGGCUAAUACCGCAUAACGUCGCAAGACCAAAGAGGGGGACCUUCGGGCCUCUUGCCAUCAGAUGUGCCCAGAUGGGAUUAGCUUGUUGGUGAGGUAACGGCUCACCAAGGCGACGAUCCCUAGCUGGUCUGAGAGGAUGACCAGCCACACUGGAACUGAGACACGGUCCAGACUCCUACGGGAGGCAGCAGUGGGGAAUAUUGCACAAUGGGCGCAAGCCUGAUGCAGCCAUGCCGCGUGUAUGAAGAAGGCCUUCGGGUUGUAAAGUACUUUCAGCGGGGAGGAAGGUGUUGUGGUUAAUAACCGCAGCAAUUGACGUUACCCGCAGAAGAAGCACCGGCUAACUCCGUGCCAGCAGCCGCGGUAAUACGGAGGGUGCAAGCGUUAAUCGGAAUUACUGGGCGUAAAGCGCACGCAGGCGGUCUGUCAAGUCGGAUGUGAAAUCCCCGGGCUCAACCUGGGAACUGCA